GGAGGCGUACUGCAGUCGACGGUACAGGAAGAGCUUGCUUCUUUGCUGACGAGUGGCGGACGGGUGAGUAAUGUCUGGGAAACUGCCUGAUGGAGGGGGAUAACUACUGGAAACGGUAGCUAAUACCGCAUAACGUCGCAAGACCAAAGAGGGGGACCUUCGGGCCUCUUGCCAUCGGAUGUGCCCAGAUGGGAUUAGCUAGUAGGUGGGGUAACGGCUCACCUAGGCGACGAUCCCUAGCUGGUCUGAGAGGAUGACCAGCCACACUGGAACUGAGACACGGUCCAGACUCCUACGGGAGGCAGCAGUGGGACCCC
RNAcentral lists this ribosomal RNA (317 nucleotides) under Enterobacter cloacae. RNAcentral describes it as "bacterial SSU rRNA". It matches the Rfam family "Bacterial small subunit ribosomal RNA", at positions 52 to 357 of the family's 1533-position model. The record is from RNAcentral. Lineage: Bacteria; Pseudomonadati; Pseudomonadota; Gammaproteobacteria; Enterobacterales; Enterobacteriaceae.